GAAAUUCUUCGGGGCAGGGUGACUGUGAUCUGCAUGAUGCAGAAAGCGGAAUUCCCUACCGGCGGUAUAGUCCGCGACCCGCUAUGAGCGGUUGAUCUGGUGACCGGAAGCAUCCGGAAUCCCAGAACCGACAGUAAAGUCUGGAUGAGAGAAGAACACG
Molecule: non-coding RNA, 160 nt
Filed under: Blautia sp. CAG:257
Lineage: Bacteria; Bacillati; Bacillota; Clostridia; Lachnospirales; Lachnospiraceae
Also listed under: 1 other name
Description: FMN riboswitch aptamer (RFN element)
Rfam family: FMN riboswitch aptamer (RFN element)
About the family: The RFN element is a highly conserved domain that is found frequently in the 5'-untranslated regions of prokaryotic mRNAs that encode for flavin mononucleotide (FMN) biosynthesis and transport proteins.
Source: Rfam by way of RNAcentral